CAGUCGCCGCGGGAACACGUAAGGUGCGAGCGUUGUUCGGAAUUAUUGGGCGUAAAGGGCAUGUAGGCGGAAAUGCAAGCUUGAUGUGAAAUACUGCAGCUUAACUGCGGAACAGCAUUGAGAACUGCGUAUCUUGAAUUACUGAAGGGUAACCGGAAUUCCACGUGUAGGGGUGAAAUCUGUAGAUAUGUGGAAGAACACCAAUGGCGAAGGCAGGUUACCGGCAGAUAAUUGACGCUGAGGUGCGAAAGUGCGGGGAGCGAACAGGAUUAGAUACCCCCGUAGUCCCUGUCUCUUAUAC
RNAcentral lists this ribosomal RNA (301 nucleotides) under uncultured bacterium. RNAcentral's name for it is "partial 16S ribosomal RNA". It matches the Rfam family "Bacterial small subunit ribosomal RNA", at positions 509 to 807 of the family's 1533-position model. The record is from RNAcentral.